This is a long non-coding RNA of Sinocyclocheilus grahami, 626 nucleotides long. RefSeq lists it as uncharacterized. NCBI's taxonomy places the organism in Eukaryota, Metazoa, Chordata, Actinopteri, Cypriniformes, Cyprinidae. The record is from RefSeq and is a predicted model, not a curated record. The transcript has 3 exons.
AGGACAGCCUGGUAUCUGCUAAACAUGACCUACUCCGUGUCCAGGAGUAACUUUCCCUUGCUGAGAAGGAACUGGAGAAGAAAUUUCAGCAGACGGCUGCUUACCGGAACAUGAAAGAGAUUACAAAGGUAUGAAUCAGAUGAGUGAAUGUUUAACCCACAAGGACACACAUGAAGAGGUCAGCAGAUUAUCACUACUGGAUCUGAUGUAUCAGCUACACCUUGUACGGCUUAGAUUGGAAAUAUUAUUUGGACACGACACUACAAUUACUUAUUCAUCACCUAUCUGUAUUUUUCAAUGUUUACGGCUGGUUACCUGAGAGGAGGUUUUUGCAAGUACCCUCAUAUUUUUUGUGGGUUCACUUUGCUUAAGAGGAAACAUGUUGCCCAUAGCUUUGCUCCCUUCUUUCCUGGAAGAAUACAGCUCAACACUGUUGUCAAAUUCUUGUUUCUGGGUACAAAAUACAUUGUUUCAAAGAACUACAUAUCUGUGCAUUAUAAUAAUUAUUAUUUCUUUCUGUUUUAUGUUUGUAUGCAUACAUUAAUCUCAUCUUCUAGGAGCUUUAGCUGUUGCCACAAGUAUAUAACCUAUACAAAAAUUGUGUAUAUCAUUUUAUAAUUAAGGAC